GGCCGCCUGGCGUAAUGGCAACGCGUCUGACUACGAUAGGCGGUUCGAUCGUUUCGUUAUCAGGAGAUUGCAGGUUCGACCCCUGCGGUGGUCA
This is a non-coding RNA of Lentinus tigrinus ALCF2SS1-7, 94 nucleotides long. The record is from the annotation of a GenBank genome assembly. Lineage: Eukaryota; Fungi; Basidiomycota; Agaricomycetes; Polyporales; Polyporaceae.